Molecule: ribosomal RNA, 119 nt
Organism: Pan troglodytes (chimpanzee)
Lineage: Eukaryota; Metazoa; Chordata; Mammalia; Primates; Hominidae
Source: Ensembl
GUUUAUGGCCAUAGCACCUUAAACAAGCCAGGUCUCAUCUGAUCUUGGAAGCUAAGCAAGGUUGGGCCUGGUUAGUACUUGGAUGCGAGACAAUCUGGUAAUACCGGAUGCUGUAGGCU